UGGUGUUAACGGACGCGUCUGGUCUUGUUUCAUUUUUUGUAUGACCCGUGCACUGGCACGCGUUCCCGUACAAUUAUGCAUUAUCACAGAACCCAGUAGCUCACUUACUUCGGAAUCCAACUAAAAAAUUGUAUAUUCUGUUAAAUAAGUGGCAGCACCGUAUCGCAGAUUCAACACGACGCUCACUUAUUCACCAACUGCCGCUAUUUUUCCUCUUCCUAUUCUAACUGUCAAAAAGUUCCGGUUUGAGACUUUAGUAAAGCGUAUAAAGUGAAAAAUUUCCGUGCGGUUUGAAUUUAUUUUAUUAUAAAUAUAUUUGUUUUUCGAUCAUAAAUAUAUACCAAUUAAUAUUAAUACAAUUAACACAGCCAUCGCGAUGCCGAUAAGCCAAAACUUCUUCUGCAAAACAAAAACAUAAAGUGACUCUGCUUUCUGCAGCUUAUUCUGACCUUUAUCAACGAAAUGCGUCGCUUGCUGUGCAACAAAUUCAACGCGAUUUAUCGUUUCACUCUGCAAAUAAACAAUUAUGUGAAUAUAAACAAAUUACAAAUACAAAGUUGCAAUUGCCGGUGCUAUGUCGUUGUUGUACGCACCUGUUCCAUUACGAGUGUUUGUAUACGCAGGAAUAAGGCAUGCACAUCUUCAAUGGACUUUUCCAAUUUCUUGAGUUCAUUGAAACGAUCCAUCAAAUCGCGGAGUGUGCGUCGUUCAUUUUCGGUCUCUUCUAGAAUCUGUGGACGAAAGUCGGGUAAAGUGUUGAUGAGAAGUGUUCGCGUAAAGUGUUAGUGUAAAGUCGUCGGUUCGUCGGUUCGUCGGUUCGCGUUACGUGUUAGUGUAAAUCGUGUGUGUGUGUUUGUAAAAUGUAAGCGUUAAGCGUAUGCGUGUAAAAACAGUAUGUUUUCAACUUACAUUGCCAACAAACAGAUUCGUCGUCUUAUUUGCUAUCAGUUCUUCAAUUUCUUCUUCGGUGGAAUUGCAGUUCACUACAUGGAGGUGCUGAUUCUUCAAAUCGUCAGUAGAAUCGCUUUACAAAUUUACAAUUCAUUUCGUAAUUCGGUUGCUAACGAGCGCUCUUUCGUAUUAUGGUCUUGUGAGUGCUAAUGGCAAACGGCAAACAGCAAACAGCAAACAAAUGAAAUCUUUGGCAGUUAAGAAACAAAAGAGCGCCAGCCACCACACUGCAUAUGCCUACCACUCGCUACAAGCUGUUCUACAGAAUUUAAUAAAUAUCUAUGUAUGGAAACUGGAGUAAGGACGCGCAACUAAGUAAUUACAAAUGCAGUGAUAAUAAUUUUGGCUAAUCGUUAAAGGAAGCGCCGCCGCACAGCACAAUGAGUGGAAAUAUGCCGCAUUAGAUAAUGGCGCACUUGCUGCUGCUGGAGAUCUCUCGGCAAUACAAUGGCAACAAUCUCCUUUCUGCGUUUUUUCGUACUUCUUAUUAUAUUCGCAUAACUAAACGCACCAGCAUGCCGUGCUGAUAUCUUCAGCAGUUGGCAAUGUUUUCUGCGAAAUAUAACUUUGCCAGAGCUGUGUUUUCUAACCAAACUAUGAGAGGUCCUAUAUCAAGACACAUACAUUCGCCUGGCAGUUGGCUGUUGUCGUUGGCAAACAAAAAGUGCCCAAUAAAUCAUACAAACUUACGCAUAAAUUUUCUACACACAGUGUCCACCCUCAGCACACCGUCGCCGCCCUGACAUUAUCUGUCAGUUUUCACGGGUUUUGUGCACAAACUUUGCUCACCUAAAUGUCGACAUCUCAAGCAACGGAAUGUGCGUAUUAUUUAUUGUUGCGCUUUGCCACCGUUAGACAUGAACCAGCAGUAUCCUUAAAGGUAAGUCCAUUGUUUGUAAGUCAUUGAUUUGGGUACUUAGAUAAACGAAUAUGUUAAAUUUUCAAAUAUGUUGAAAAAGUUUUGAAUUUAACACCCUCAUCCGGUGGAAAUGCACGA
Molecule: long non-coding RNA, 1948 nt
Organism: Zeugodacus cucurbitae (melon fly)
Lineage: Eukaryota; Metazoa; Arthropoda; Insecta; Diptera; Tephritidae
Exons: 7
Source: RefSeq, a predicted model, not a curated record